GGGGAGGAUUUGAGACUGCUCAUAUGAUAUGCAUGCCAUAAAUUAGUAAAAUGCAAUAAAAAAUAAAGCAUCAGACCACAGAAACUAUGCCAUGGGUGGUAUAGCAGGCCGUAGGCGGCUGUAAAGUUGAUCCGGAAUUGGCCUUCAGUCUCUUAGUGGUCAACUGAAAGGGUGUUGUGGUCACAUACAUGGCUCUCAUUCACAAGAGGGCAAUGUACCAGCUCUUAGAAGAAGCAAAACUUUUUCUAGUACUUGACUCUAAGGAAAAUUACCCACCUCGGCCCAGAUGAAAGAGACUAGCGUGGAUAAUGUCCUCAAAACAUGGCAGCAAAUUCAGGCUCAGUUUCUCUGGGCUGUGUCCUGCAGGAAGAUCCAAGGUGGUCACCCUCAGCCUCUGCUCAGUGAGAGCACUGAAAUCCACACUCCCUUGAGCAAAGAAACGAUCUGUAUGUUUCAAUUCUUUCUUCAGCACUGGGAUUUCUUUCAAGUGGGUUUUCAUAUACAGAUUAGCCCAUGACCAUGACUAGAGGCUCAGAGGAAAUACUAGUAACUGAAGUCACAAUUCCUAGCUGGGUCCAACUCAGGGUCAGAGCAGCGAAUGUGGACAUGUAGAGGGAGGAGGCCAGGAGUGGUGGGCAAGACUGUCAGCAAGCCUGCACAGGGAAAGCAUCUCUUCUGUGUCUGGGUACCUCCUCCUGAACCUGUGUCACACCACAGAGGAGGACAAAGAAAUAAGAAAACCAGAGGCUUCUACCCUGAUUGUGAGGCAAAGGUCCAUCCAUCCGGGUCACAUCUCUGUAUGUAUCCUGGUGUGUGAUCUUUCAAAGCAAACGGAUGACCUCAAGCCAUCGCAGAAUCACUCACAGAAACAGAGGAGUCAGGAGAGGACUAGUUUGCAGGAGAUGACACCGAGUGUGGUCUUACAGGUAAUAUAGUAACACCUGUACCGUAUGGUCAUUUGUAAUUUCAGGAAGAUAUAUUGAGGAGCCAUGUAUUGUGGACAGUUAGAAUUCCAGGUCUGAAAUUCAGAACAGAGAUGAGAGUUGAAGGCUUAGAUUUAGAGACUUCUUCCAGAAACUAUCUUGAAAGCCCAGCAGUCAGCCAGGUAAGAUCUUUGAGGCUACAUAGUUUAGGGGUGGGAAGAGCAAGAGGGAGUAGCAGGAAAGACAGAAAAAGAAUAUGCACCAGUACUUUGGGAGGCAGAGGCCGGCGGAUCACGAGGUCAGGAGUUUGAGACCAGCCUGACCAACAUGGUGAAACCCCAUCUCUACUGAAAAUACAAAGAUUAGCUGGGUGUGGUGGUGCAUGCCUGUAAUCCCAGCUACUCAGGAGGCUGAGGAAGGAGAAUUGCUUGAACCCGGGAGGCAGAGGUUGCAGUGAAUUGAGAUCGUGCCACUGCACUCCUGCCUGAAAAAGAAUAUGCAAGAAAGUAGAAAAAGAACCAGGACAUAGUUUUGAGAUGUGCAUUCUUUCGACUCUAGAUAUCAGGCCCUGGGGAAGCAGUGGAAAUCAACAAUCCCAGUUCCUGCCCACAGGGAGUUUAUGUUGCUCUGGAAGCAGAGAGGCAAAAAGAAAUGAAGAGGGCCGGGGCGUGGUGGCUUACGCCUGUAAUCCCAGCACUUUGGGAGGCUGAGGCAGGCGGAUCACAAGAUCAGGAGAUUGAGACCAUCCUGGCUAACACGGUGAAACCCCGUCUCUACUAAAAAUACAAAAAAAUUAGCCGGGCAUGGUAGCGGGCGCCUGUAGUCCCAGCUACUCGGGAGGCUGAGGCAGGAGAAUGGCGUGAACUCGGGAGGCAGAGCUUGCAGUGAGCCGAGAUCAUGCCACCGCACUCCAGCCUGGGCGACCGAGCAAGACUCCAUCUCAAAAAAAAAAAAAAAAAAAAGAAGAGGAGAGAGGAGAGGAGAGUUACAGAGUUUCAUGUAAUAGAAACUGAAGGAGGAAGACUUAGGGAAGGCCUCUUGGAGGAAAGGGCAUCUGCAUAUUAGUCGGUUUUCUCCCCAUCAUCCAUUCCUCCUAUCCUGUCCUUCCAGUACUCACAAUUUCUCCACAGCUGGUCCCUAUGUUUUGGUGGUGCUGACUUCACUCUCAUCCUCUCCAGAAGUGGACUCUGAUCUCCUUAAACCCCUGGCUCUAGUGACUGGCUCAGAUAUGGGCACACGGCCCAAGGCAGGCUGCUACAGGAGACUAUUCCUGGAUUUGAGUUUGAAACUUCCAGGAAGCAGAGAGUCACUUUCUGCUAUAUUUGCACCAAGAAAAUGGAUCUUGAGAGUUCCUGGGGCCAUCUUGGAAGCAUGAGGGUUGUUCCUGCUCAUAGGCCUGGGAGAUGGAGCCCCCAAAAGAACAAGAGAGAAAAGGGGCCUUGAAUCAGAGUGAAGCCCGAGAUGAAGCCUCACCUGACCUGGAUACAGAUUAUUCAGCUAUUGGAGCCAAUCAAAGUCCUUUUCUGCUAAAGCUCAUUUGAGCUCAGAUUUGUUAUUUGCAGGCCAAGGCAGAGCCAAGUGCAAAGCUACCCAGCAUCCAAGCAGGAUGGCAUGCAUGAGGGCAGAGCCUAAGCCAGAGCCCAAAGGAGGAGGGGAGCAGACGUGGGGUAAGUCUGGUGAGGCUAUGAAUUAAUAGCUAACCUCACAGGUGUCCCUUCUGUGCCAGGCAUUGUUCUGAGAUGUUUACGUGCAUAAUUUCACUUAAUCUUCAUGAGGACCUUGUGACAUAAGUAGUGUUAUUAUCCCCAUUUUAUAGAGAAGCAAACAGAACAUAAGAGGCUAACUGGCCACGGUCAGAUGGCUAGAAAAGCUGGACUCAAUUCCCGGCAGUCCCACUCAAGGGCCUGGCCACUGGGGCAAGAUCAGGCUGAGCCUGGGUGCAGGGUCUGGUAGAUGAUCACAUAGCUAUCAAGGCCAAAGGUCGCUGAGAGGUGAUGGCGGAAGAAGGCUGAGAAGGCAUCAGAGUUGAUGACUGCAGCCAUCAAUUGCCCUAGGAGGUGCCAUUUCAGGCAAAGGUGGGGUGGACGCCGAUUUGUAAGGUGUGAAUUAGAGCCAGGUAUGAAUGGGAACCUGGUAAGGGCUGGGAACAGUUGGCAAAGCCCACACAUACCGUGAAUUCAUCACAGAAAGCAGGGAAGCCAGGGUCAGCUAUGGAAAGCAAGAGAGUCUAACACCAGCUUUGAUUUUUGCUCAUGAUGGUGUUUGCAAGGCAUGAUAAUGAAGGGGGUAGAGAAUAGGCUCAAAGAGCCCCAGUGGGCCCAUGAAGGAGAGAGGUCUGUGGCAGGCAGGAGAAGAGGAGCCAGUGUGCCGGCUGAGGGGAACAGUUGGUCACAGGCUUGUGGAGAGCACCUCUUCCUCUGGAGAAGGGAAAAUGAAGGGAACAGGUAAAGGUGCAAGCCACAGUUAGCUGGUGAGGGGGCAUGGGCAUCAGAAAAGCUGAGGGGCAGAGGUGUUGGCAGAGGGGCCAGUGGGGAGGACAGUAGCCAUUCAAGAAACCUUGAGGAUCUGUGAGCAUGCCUGCUCAGCUCAGCAGGAGGAAAAAGGACCUGCUACGGCCAGGUUUUCACAAGGUUCUGGGAUAUUGCCUUUUUUUCUUUUUGUAUUUAUUUUGAAAUAAUUUCAGAUUUACAUAUAAGUUACACAAAUAGUACAGUGCAUUUGCAGGCCAUAUUCUGACCCUACCCAUUGGCCUUACUUUUUCAAGGCAUUUCAUCUUUUUUUUCUUUUUCGACAGAGUCUCGCUCUGUUACCCAGGCUGGAGUGCAAUGGCGCAACCUCAGCUCACUGCAACCUCCGCCUCCUGGGUUCAAGCCAUUCUCCUGCUUCAGCCUCCUGAGUAGCUGGGAUUAUAGGCAUGUGCCACCAUGCCCGGCUAUUUUUUGUAUUUUUAGUAAAGACUGGGUUUCACCACGUUGGCCAGGCUGGUCUCGAACUCCUGAUCUCAGGUGAUGCGCCCGCUUCAGCCUCCCAAAGUGCUGGGAUUACAGGCAUGAGCCACCGCGCCCAGCUCAUCUUCUUAAAACAAAAUCCCUAGGCUGUCCUCCAAGCCCUGAGCUUGGCACUCUUCUCUUUAAAAAUUGCACUGCACUGGCCAGGCACGUUGGCUCACGCCUGUGAUCCCAAUGCUUUGGGAGGCCGAGGCAGCUGGAUCACUUGAGGUCAGGAGUUUGAGACCAGCCUGACCAACAUGGUGAAACCCUGUCUCUACUAAAAAAUACAAAAUUAGCUGGGCAUGGUGGUGCAUGCCUGUAAUCCCAGCUACUUGGGAGGCUGGGAAAGGAGAAUCUCUUGAACCCAGGAGGCGGAGGUUGCAGUCAGCCAAGAUCACACCAUUGCACUCCAGCCUGGGUUACAAGAGCGAAACUCCGUCUCCAAAAAAAAAAAAAAAAAAAAAAAAAAAAAAGGAUGCAUGUUCAGUGAGGUCAAAUAACCUACUCCACUUAGUUUGUAAGCAUCAGUCUUGGGCCAAAAGUCAUGUCCACUUGAUGCUGGGAUUCCACUUCAAUCAAAUGAGGCAAUUGGACUCUACUGCAGCUAACUGCUACUUACACAUCAGAAUUACCCAAGGAGCUUUAAACAUAUUUAUCUAUCCCUCUGACCCAGGCUGACUGAAUCAGCAUCCCUGGGUGUGGGCUGGGAAUGUGUCUUUUCAGCACACUUCCCCAGCAAGAUAAAAGUGCCUCUGUAAACUGAGAGCAGGAAACCAGUGGGCAAGAUUGUCAACUCAUGGAGUCAGGGACAUGUUUAAUUCAUUUGUGAAUCCCCUGGUACUGGCACAUAGAAAGCGUCCCAUAUUAUCUGCAAAAUGAAUGAAUGAAUAAAUGAGCAAGUAGGUGAAUGAAUGAUUCUGAGGUCUCCUCCAGCUUUGAUGGCCUAUGACCGUGUGACUCCUGCAUAUGCAUGAACACACAGACACAGACACUACACACAUGCACAGACACACAUACACACUUGGAGCAAAGAGGGAUGAAGCCUGCCACACUGCAGGUGGUCCUAGCUGCCUGACCUCCCUUCCUCACACACUGACACACCUCCCUCUUUGUUGACCUGUUAUUUAUUGUGCACCCAUUGGGUGCAUGGCCUAGCCCUAGGCCCUGGCCGGAGACCCAAACAUGGCCUCCAAGGGCCAACCUUACUUUGUGGAGGUGCAAGCCCCAGAGCUGGUUACAAGCAUGGGAAGGGAGGAGGGUGGCCUAGCAGGAAGGCUGGGGAGGCAGUGUGUCAGCCGGCAGGCAGCAGCGGGUAGCAGAGGCCCCCUCUUGGCGGGCAGCCUACUUGCACACUUGGCUGAACAGAGACAAUGGUGGCUGGUCCCUCCGGCCCAGCCUCCUUCCUACAGGCAGAGCCCCAAGUCCAUGAGUCUCCGGAACCUCCCUCAGAGAACAAGCCCAGCUGGGAGGCAGCCAGAGGGCAGGAUGAGGGGAUUUCCCAGGGGAGAGCAGCAGAGACCCUCUGAGCUGCCAGAGAUGGGGAAGGGGUCCAGGCACCCCACAGGAAGGAAGGUUUAAGGCAUGUGUAGAAAGGAGCACAGAAAAGUCUCCCGAGCCUGGCCUAGGCCUCGCCUGGUCGCCAGCCUCCGUCCCAUCCCUCACAACUCUCCUGAGCUGUGGCUCCUGCCAGGCAGACCCCUAAGGGAAACUGUCGCCACCUUUUACCUCUCUAUCCUCUCCAGUGGUCUGAACAUAGAGAACCUCCUUCUCUGCUCUGUUGGAACAAAGGCUCCUUGUUCCUAGGGUUCCAGGGUUCCCUGCAAAGCUCUGGAGGCCCCACCCCGCCCAGCCCUCACUCAUGCCAUCAGCUCUGCUCUGUUGAUGAGCAGUUGGGUAUGUGAGACUGUUUCAUCUACUUCGGGGGAAAGGAGACACAAGGAGACAAAGGCACAGGGCCCCACAGCCGUGCAGAGCCCUUGAAGCCCCCCGAGGUCCCUGCCCAGAAGGCUGUCCCCUCAGUGGGCAGGACCUUAGCGACCCUGCUCCCUGGGUCACAGGAGGCUGGUUAGGAAUUUCUCAAGAGUCCCUGAUUCACUCUCCUGGGGCCUCCCCAGGAAGGUCACCUAAUUCCCAGAGCAAGACCAUCCUUGGGGCUGUGGCUCCCCUGGCUGGGCUGCCCAGGGGCCUCUGCUGCCCCAAGCUCUCCCCCAGAAGCCAAGGGCACACCACAUAAGCACUGGUUCUCAAACAAGUGCUGAGUUCUCAGCAAGUCUAGGAAAUGAGGCCACUCUGGAUUCUGGGGCCUGGAGGGUGACAUGGGCUGAGCUCUGGGAGGAAAGUCAAGUCCUCACCUCCCUCUUCCCUUGGGCGUGGCCAGGGACUGGGGCUGCGGAGGGACUGCCAUGGGGGUGGUGGGGAGCACAGCAAUAUUAGGAAAGCUUCAGGGAGCACAAGAAUGAGGGCCACAGGGAAACAAGGUUUGUCCUUCAGCAGGGAAAGGAGGUGCCUCAUCCGUCAUGGUGGACUCAUUGAAAUAAGUCUCCUCCAGGGAGGUUCAUCUCAGGUCUACCCUGGAGCAGGGAACAGUGUCUCUGAGGUGGUGCUGGCUUCACAGCUGAUUGCGGUUCCGCUUAGGGAUGAUCUUCCGGUAGGUUCUGCGCUCUGAGAUGUUGCGCUUCACCUUGGCCGUGGUGGGAGCCUCAUCCUGGUGCAGGGACGGGCUCGAGUGGGACUUCUUCAGGCUGAGCUUGGGCUCCCGAGUGCCUCCAGCUUCCCUCCCCAGCUGCUCCUCCCACAGGUCCAGAGCAUCAGAGGGGCAGUGCAGGCGGGCCACCAGCAGCUGCACGUAGGUCUCGUAGCGGGUUUUCU
This 6781-nucleotide long non-coding RNA is filed under the name Homo sapiens (human). RNAcentral describes it as "PREDICTED lncRNA (TCONS_00161002)". Lineage: Eukaryota; Metazoa; Chordata; Mammalia; Primates; Hominidae. The record is from RNAcentral.